This 718-nucleotide ribosomal RNA is filed under the name Mammaliicoccus sciuri. Its description in RNAcentral is "bacterial SSU rRNA". It matches the Rfam family "Bacterial small subunit ribosomal RNA", at positions 26 to 728 of the family's 1533-position model. Lineage: Bacteria; Bacillati; Bacillota; Bacilli; Caryophanales; Staphylococcaceae. The record is from RNAcentral.
UGGAUAGCUGCUCGCAUCGUACAAGCAACAUACGAGCGAACAGAUGAGAAGCUUGCUUCUCUGAUGUUAACGGCGGACGGGUGAGUAACACGUGGGUAACCUACCUAUAAGACUGGGAUAACUCCGGGAAACCGGGGCUAAUACCGGAUAAUAUUUUGAACCGCAUGGUUCAAUAGUGAAAGAAGGUUUCGGCUGUCACUUAUAGAUGGACCCGCGCCGUAUUAGCUAGUUGGUAAGGUAACGGCUUACCAAGGCGACGAUACGUAGCCGACCUGAGAGGGUGAUCGGCCACACUGGAACUGAGACACGGUCCAGACUCCUACGGGAGGCAGCAGUAGGGAAUCUUCCGCAAUGGGCGAAAGCCUGACGGAGCAACGCCGCGUGAGUGAUGAAGGUCUUCGGAUCGUAAAACUCUGUUGUUAGGGAAGAACAAAUUUGUUAGUAACUGAACAAGUCUUGACGGUACCUAACCAGAAAGCCACGGCUAACUACGUGCCAGCAGCCGCGGUAAUACGUAGGUGGCAAGCGUUAUCCGGAAUUAUUGGGCGUAAAGCGCGCGUAGGCGGUUUCUUAAGUCUGAUGUGAAAGCCCACGGCUCAACCGUGGAGGGUCAUUGGAAACUGGGGAACUUGAGUGCAGAAGAGGAGAGUGGAAUUCCCUGUGUAGCGGUGAAAUGCGCAGAGAUAUGGGAGGAACACCAGUGGCGAAGGCGGGCUCU